RNAcentral lists this ribosomal RNA (305 nucleotides) under uncultured bacterium. RNAcentral describes it as "bacterial SSU rRNA". It matches the Rfam family "Bacterial small subunit ribosomal RNA", at positions 335 to 657 of the family's 1533-position model. The record is from RNAcentral.
GUUCCUACGGGAGGCAGCAGUGGGGAAUAUUGCACAAUGGGGGAAACCCUGAUGCAGCGACGCCGCGUGAGCGAUGAAGUAUUUCGGUAUGUAAAGCUCUAUCAGCAGGGAAGAAAAUGACGGUACCUGACUAAGAAGCCCCGGCUAACUACGUGCCAGCAGCCGCGGUAAUACGUAGGGGGCAAGCGUUAUCCGGAUUUACUGGGUGUAAAGGGAGCGUAGACGGUUCUGCAAGCCGGGAGUGAAAGCCCGGGGCCCAACCCCGGGACUGCUCUUGGAACUGCAUGGCUGGUGUACAGGAGGGG